RNAcentral lists this transfer RNA (72 nucleotides) under Dryobates pubescens (Downy woodpecker). Its description in RNAcentral is "Picoides pubescens (downy woodpecker) tRNA". It matches the Rfam family "tRNA". From Rfam's summary of the family: Transfer RNA (tRNA) molecules are approximately 80 nucleotides in length. Their secondary structure includes four short double-helical elements and three loops (D, anti-codon, and T loops). Further hydrogen bonds mediate the characteristic L-shaped molecular structure. tRNAs have two regions of fundamental functional importance: the anti-codon, which is responsible for specific mRNA codon recognition, and the 3' end, to which the tRNAs corresponding amino acid is attached (by aminoacyl-tRNA synthetases). tRNAs cope with the degeneracy of the genetic code in two manners: having more than one tRNA (with a specific anti-codon) for a particular amino acid; and 'wobble' base-pairing, i.e. permitting non-standard base-pairing at the 3rd anti-codon position. The record is from Rfam by way of RNAcentral. Lineage: Eukaryota; Metazoa; Chordata; Aves; Piciformes; Picidae.
GCAUUGGUGGUAUAGUGGUGAGCAUAGCUGCCUUCCAAGCAGCUGACCCGGGUUCGAUUCCUGGCCAAUGCA